GAUCCUGGCUCAGGAUGAACGCUGGCGGCGUGCCUAACACAUGCAAGUCGAGCGAAGCACUUUGCCUAGAUUCUUCGGAUGAAGAGGAUUGUGACUGAGCGGCGGACGGGUGGUAACGCGUGGUAACCUGCCUCAUACAGGGGGAUAACAGUUAGAAAUGACUGCUAAUACCGCAUAAGACCACAGCACCGCAUGGUGCGGGGGUAAAAACUCCGGUGGUAUGAGAUGGACCCGCG
This 236-nucleotide ribosomal RNA is filed under the name uncultured bacterium. Its description in RNAcentral is "partial 16S ribosomal RNA". It matches the Rfam family "Bacterial small subunit ribosomal RNA", at positions 15 to 235 of the family's 1533-position model. The record is from RNAcentral.